Molecule: transfer RNA, 67 nt
Filed under: Marmota monax (woodchuck)
Lineage: Eukaryota; Metazoa; Chordata; Mammalia; Rodentia; Sciuridae
Description: tRNA.Ala
Source: RNAcentral
GGUUAUAGCUCAGUGGUAAAGCACUUACCUAGCAUGUACGAGGCCCUGGGUUUGAUCCUCAGCACCA